Molecule: ribosomal RNA, 3474 nt
Filed under: Triticum aestivum (bread wheat)
Lineage: Eukaryota; Viridiplantae; Streptophyta; Magnoliopsida; Poales; Poaceae
Description: partial small subunit ribosomal RNA
Rfam family: Small nucleolar RNA Z247 (bases 445-583)
Source: RNAcentral
AUGGGGCAGGUCGCCGAGAAGCUUACCCGCACCAACUAUGUUCUGUGGCGUGCCCAGGUGACGCCGCAGCUGAGAGGUGCUGGUUACUUCGGCUACGUCGACGGGACGAUGCCGCAGCCCGCCCAGUUCAUCAUCACGAAGGACAAGGACGGGAAGGAGGAGAAAACACCCAACCCUCUCUAUCCGAUCUGGUUCAGAGAAGGGCAGCAGGUACUUGGAUACUUGCUCAAUAACCUUACCAAGGAAGUCCUCGUGCAGGUCACAUCUAUAGCCACGCCGCACGAGCUCUCGGCAGCCCUUGCCCACAUGUUCUCGUCGCAGUCCAGGGCGCGCGUCAACAACAUCAGAGUCGCGCUCUCCACGGCGCAGAAGGGGACGCAGUCGGUAGCCGCCUACUUCGCCCACAUGAGGUCCCUGGCGGAUGAGCUCACAGCUGCCGGCAAGCCCAUCGAUGAUGAUGAGCUGAUCUCCUACAUCACCUCCGGCCUCGACAUGGAGUACCAACCUCUCGUCUCCGCCAACGACGCCCGCACCGAGCCCAUCAGCAUCGACGAUCUCUACUCCCAGAUGAGUAACUUCGAUCAGCGUCUCGCCCUUUACAGCUCGGCGGGGUCUGGUGGAGGUUUCAAAUCCUCUGCUAACGCGGCUGCUCGCGGCCGCGGUGGCGGUGGACGCGGCGGUGGCAGCUCCUCUCGCUAUCGUGGGCCGCAGCGCACCAAGGGCAAGCCAUCAGGCGGCGAUGGCAACCCUCCUCCACGCAGCGGCAACGGCGGCGGCGGUCGGCCCUACAACAACAGCAACAAGGGUCGCCGCGGAGGCCGCCCACGAGCUGCUCCUGACGUGCCGCGCUGCCAAAUCUGUGGCAAGCCAGGCCACACCGCGCGGGACUGCUGGUACCGCUACGAGGAAGAUGAAGAAUCUUCCCAAGAUGAGAAGGUUGCGGGGGUAGCCGACGGCUCCUACGGCGUCGACACGAACUGGUACGUGGACAACGGCGCGACAGAUCACAUCACAGGGGAGUUGGAGAAGGUGACCAUGCGCGAAAAGUAUCGUGGGCAAGACCAAGUCCAUACCGCCAAUGGAGAAGGUAUGAGCAUUAGUCAUAUUGGUCAUUCAGUAAUAAAAACUCCCCAAAAAAAUAUUCGUCUCAGAAAAUUUUUGCAUGUCCCUAGUGCAUCAAAGAAUCUCCUUUCUGUUCAUCGCAUUGCUCUCGAUAAUCAUGUAUUCCUUGAGUUUCAUCCAUUUUUCUUUUUGAUCAAGGAUCAGGUCACGAGCAAAAUCCUCUAUCGAGGUAGAUGCGUUCGAGGGCUCUACCCGUUGAUUCCGGAGCUUAGGAGAUUGAAUAAACAAGCCUAUGGUGUCACCAAAGUGUCUUCAACACGAUGGCACGAUAGAUUAAGGCAUGCAUCAUUUCCUUUGAUUGAGAAAUUACUUAGAAAGAAUAAGCUCCCGUUUGUUGGUGAGCGUGAUUGUGAAACUAUUUGUGACUCAUGCCAGCGUGCUAAAAGUCACCAGUCAGCUUAUCCUAUAUCUACAAGUGUUUCUACCAAGCCUCUUGAACUCAUUUUCUCUGAUGUUUGGGGUCCCGCGCCUACUUCAGUUGGGCGCCACACUUAUUAUGUAAGCUUCAUCGAUGAUUUUAGUAAGUACACGUGGAUUUAUCUCCUCAAAAAGAGAUCUGAUGUGUUUCAAGUUUUUCACAACUUUCAAGCACUUGUAGAAAGAAAGUUCAACUGCAAAAUUCUAGCUAUCCAAUCUGAUUGGGGAGGGGAAUACAGAAACCUCAAUUCCUUCUUCCAACAGAUUGGCAUAUCUCACCACAUAUCGUGCCCUCAUGCUCACCAGCAGAACGGGUCUGCUGAGCGUAAGCACAGGCAUAUCGUCGAAGUAGGUCUAGCUCUUCUUGCAGCUGCCUCUAUGCCAUUAAAAUUUUGGGAUGAAGCCUUUCUCACCGCAGUUCAUCUUAUUAAUAUUCUUCCUAGUAGAGUCAUCAAAAAUGAAACUCCGGUAGAACGCCUUCUUCACACCAAACCCGAUUACAAAUCCCUCCGAGUGUUUGGCUGUGCGUGCUGGCCAAAUCUUCGUCCCUACAACAAUCGCAAGUUCCUUUUCCGGUCAAAACAAUGUGUCUUCAUUGGUUAUAGUCCACAACAUAAAGGUGUUAAGUGCCUUGAUGUAUCCACGGGUCGUGUCUAUAUAUCCCGUGAUGUUGUGUUCGACGAGAUAAUUUUUCCUUUUGCACAUCUCCACCCAAACGCCGGCUCUCUCCUUCAAAAGGAAAUUCUUCUUCUUCCAUCUCAUCUCACCGGUUCUGAUAAUGGGGAUGGUUUUACUACUAAUGAUCAAUUAUUGACUAAUCCUCCUACUAAUGGUGGUGAUGAGUUUUGUGAUGAAGCAGAAAAAAAUGGGACAGAAAAUGAUGAAGGAAUUGGCCAAAACUGUCAUUUUAUGCCUCCUGGAUGCAGCAGCAGCGCCAUCGAGGCAGAUCCGCCUCGGGAUCGGGGCGCAUCAGCCGCGGGAUCCGAGCGUGACGGGACAGACGAAUCUGCACCGAGCCCCGCGCCACGCCACGAUAGCCGCGGUCCGGCCAAUCACGGCGCGCCCGCGCGGGUGGACCACGCGUCGCCUGCGUCCGGUCGGUUCGGCCCCGAACCGCGUCACUACACGCGGCGCGCGCCUCGGCAGGAUCCGGGCGUGGAGUCCCGCGCCGCAUCUGCGGGGGCCCACUCAUCAUCGCCUCAUCAUGAGCCGGACGCUGCGGCUGGCGCAGCUGCGGGAUCCUUUGUGCCGCCAUCCUCCAGUACGUCACGCCCUUUGGUCGCAGAAAAUCCCGCCUUGUCACCCGCGCCUGACGCACCCGACAGGUCGUCUUCGGGAUCUGCAGCUGAUCCAGGUGCUGGAUCUUCUGUGCCUGCCUCUUCGCCAUCUCGGACCAGACUUCAAAGGGGAGUAAUCCAACCGAAAAACUACAAACAUAUAGCAAAAUUUGGCUAUGCUUGUAAUACACAUGGUGCAGAUACUGUUCCACGUACUGUAGUAGAAGCUUUGAAUGAUCCACGAUGGAAAAGGGCCAUGGAAGAAGAGUGCAAGGCGCUUGACAAAAAUAAAACCUGGCAUUUAGUCUCUGCACAUCAAGGGAAAGGUAAAAAUGUGAUAGAUUGUAAAUGGGUUUUCAGAGUAAAGAAGAAGUCUGAUGGAACCAUUGAUCGCUACAAAGCCAGACUAGUUGCGAAAGGUUUUAAGCAAAGGUAUGGCUUAGACUAUGAGGACACAUUUAGUCCUGUUGUAAAGGCUGCCACUAUUCGCCUUGUUUUGUCUAUUGCCAUGUCUACGGGAUGGAGUCUCCGUCAGCUAGAUGUACAUAACGCGUUUCUCCAUGGUGUUCUGGAAGAGGAAGUGUUCAUGCGACAACCUCCUGGGUUUGAGGACAAAAGUAAACCCUUUGCAAGCUUGAUAAGGCUUUGUAUGGAUUAA